This 417-nucleotide ribosomal RNA is filed under the name Trogoderma inclusum. RNAcentral describes it as "partial 16S ribosomal RNA". It matches the Rfam family "Archaeal large subunit ribosomal RNA", at positions 1934 to 2591 of the family's 2987-position model. Lineage: Eukaryota; Metazoa; Arthropoda; Insecta; Coleoptera; Dermestidae. The record is from RNAcentral.
UUUAUUUAAAGUCUGGCCUGCUCCCUGAGGUUUUUAAGAGCCGCAGUAUUUUGACUGUGCGAAGGUAGCAUAAUAAUUAGUUUCUUUAUUGGGAACUGGAAUGAAUGGUUGGACGAGAUAAUUACUGUCUCUUCCCUAUAUUUGUGAAUUUGACUUUUGAGUAAAAAGGCUCAAAUUUUUUUAAAAGACGAGAAGACCCUAUAGAGUUUUAUUGUUGUUUUUAUAGAAUUUUGGUAUUUAAAUUUUUAAUGUUAAAGGCAAUUUGGUUGGGGUGAUUGGAAAAUUUAAUUAACUUUUCCUUUAUUUAAACAUUUAUUUAUGAUUAUAUGAUCCAAUUUUUUUGAUUGUAAGAGAUAAUUACCUUAGGGAUAACAGCGUAAUUUUUCUUGAGAGUUCUAAUCGAAAGGAGAGUUUGCG